This 95-nucleotide microRNA precursor is filed under the name Pelobates cultripes (western spadefoot toad). The record is from RNAcentral. Lineage: Eukaryota; Metazoa; Chordata; Amphibia; Anura; Pelobatidae.
GUGUGUGUGUGUGUGUGUGUGUAUAUAAUGCAGUGUGUUUGUGUAGUGUGCAUUAUAUAAACACACUGCAUUAUAUACACACACUACACAAACAC